Molecule: Y RNA, 112 nt
Organism: Callithrix jacchus (white-tufted-ear marmoset)
Lineage: Eukaryota; Metazoa; Chordata; Mammalia; Primates; Cebidae
Rfam family: Y RNA
About the family: Y RNAs are components of the Ro ribonucleoprotein particle (Ro RNP), in association with Ro60 and La proteins. The Y RNAs and Ro60 and La proteins are well conserved, but the function of the Ro RNP is not known. In humans the RNA component can be one of four small RNAs -- hY1, hY3, hY4 and hY5.
Source: Ensembl
GGCUUCUCCAAAGGUAGUGAGUGAUUGCAAGUGACUGUUCACACUAAGUUACAGAUCGAACUCCUUGUUCUACUGUUUUCCCCCUUCUCACUACGCACUUCACUAGUCUUUA